GGGGGUUAUUAUCUUACAUUCUUCAAAAUCCAUUUUACAUCAAUUGUAUCUCUCUCAUAGUUUACCAUACUUAGUUUCUUUCAUAUUUUCGCUGCUACCCCUAUUUGUAGGGGUCACAAGAAACUCUCGUUGCUAUUGUUAUUCAUGGCUGUAGGGUAAAUACUUUUUGCUAAGAUGCGAACAUUUUAACAGUUUCCUCGGUUACAAAGUUUUAACCUAUAACAAGUAUUUAGGCUAGCUAUUGAAUAUGGAUGCCCACAUUCUAUGAAAUGGACAACUUUCUGUGGCGGGAGCAGCAAUUUGUCCUUCCAUUGUAGUUUCAACUGAUGGUCCGACUUCAUGAACGAAUUUGACAGAUUCCGAUAGUCGAUUGAGUAGGUUCAUGAGGGCAAUUACUUCAUUUCUUUGCAGAUCCAGACCCAAGUGUUCUUGAUAAUCAUCACCAGAAAAGAGGAUCUUCAAUGCAGUACCAAGACCAAGAACCUGAAGCUUCCCCCAAAGACGACAUUUCUCACAUCCGACACAAUCCAUCAGUGCACUGAUGUUUCUGAAUUGCUUUUGUAUUUGCUGCUUCAGUUCUGGUCCUUUUUGACCUUUCCAUAACUUGGCUUCAUCAAAUGGAAGUGGGCACGCAGCUUGUAAUUUGGAAUUGAAAAGCAGCUGUUUCAUCAAGGAUUGUGUCUUCAGGUCUUCAUUCAAGUUACCAGUAUCAUAUUCGGCAUGCUCUAGGUAUUCCGUAGCUUUUGUCACAGCUCGGAGAACAAAGAGAUAUGUGAAGUACAGGUUUCUAACA
RNAcentral lists this unclassified non-coding RNA (793 nucleotides) under Hevea brasiliensis (rubber tree). The record is from RNAcentral. Lineage: Eukaryota; Viridiplantae; Streptophyta; Magnoliopsida; Malpighiales; Euphorbiaceae.